Chelonoidis abingdonii (Abingdon island giant tortoise) is the source of this 102-nucleotide non-coding RNA. NCBI's taxonomy places the organism in Eukaryota, Metazoa, Chordata, Testudines, Testudinidae. The record is from RefSeq and is a predicted model, not a curated record.
UUAUGCUGUGCUAAUUUCCAGUUUGUUUAGUUAAGAGCCGAACUGCUUUUGUUACUUUAACAAAGACUGUGGCUCACGUGGGUGCACAACAGUCACAGGAAG